GACGAACGCUGGCGGCGUGCUUAACACAUGCAAGUCGAACGGAAAGGCCCUGCUUUUGUGGGGUGCUCGAGUGGCGAACGGGUGAGUAACACGUGAGUAACCUGCCCUUGACUUUGGGAUAACUUCAGGAAACUGGGGCUAAUACUGGAUAGGAGCUCCUGCUGCAUGGUGGGGGUUGGAAAGUUUCGGCGGUUGGGGAUGGACUCGCGGCUUAUCAGCUGGUUGGUGGGGUAGUGGCUUACCAAGGCUUUGACGGGUAGCCGGCCUGAGAGGGUGACCGGCAACAUUGGGACUGAGAUACGGCCCAGACUCCUACGGGAGGCAGCAGUGGGGAAUAUUGCACAAUGGGCGGAAGCCUGAUGCAGCAACGCCGCGUGCGGGAUGACGGCCUUCGGGUUGUAAACCGCUUUCGCCUGUGACGAAGCGUGAGUGACGGUAAUGGGUAAAGAAGCACCGGCUAACUACGUG
Molecule: ribosomal RNA, 468 nt
Filed under: uncultured bacterium
Lineage: Bacteria
Description: partial 16S ribosomal RNA
Rfam family: Bacterial small subunit ribosomal RNA
Source: RNAcentral